This 48-nucleotide non-coding RNA is filed under the name Schistosoma bovis. RNAcentral also lists the same sequence under 1 other name. The record is from RNAcentral. Lineage: Eukaryota; Metazoa; Platyhelminthes; Trematoda; Strigeidida; Schistosomatidae.
AUUCAGCUGACGUUUCCCAAAUAGGAUGAAAUGUCGCGCGUCCUGGAU